This 419-nucleotide ribosomal RNA is filed under the name Myrmarachne ramunni. Its description in RNAcentral is "partial large subunit ribosomal RNA". The record is from RNAcentral. Lineage: Eukaryota; Metazoa; Arthropoda; Arachnida; Araneae; Salticidae.
CUGCUCAAUGUUUAAUAAAUAGCCGCAAUUCGUGCUAAGGUAGCAUAAUCAUUUGUCUUUUAAAUGAAGACUAGAACAAAAGACUUAACAUUUUAAUUUUUAUUUAUUUUAAUUUAAAUUAAAAUUUUCUUAAAUGUAAUAAGACAUUUAUAUAUAAAAUAGACGAAAAGACCCUAUUAAACUUAACUUUAGUUAAACUGGGGAAGUAAAUUAAUUAUUAUUUUAAUUUUUUUUAAUUAUAAAAUUAUCUAUUAUUAAUAAUAAAUAAUGUUACUAUAGGGAUAACAGCAUAAUUAUUAUUAAAAGUUCUCAUUUAAAUAAUAGAUUAUGACCUCGAUGUUGAAUUAAUUUUCUAAUAAAAGCAAUAUUUUAAAAAGAAAGUCUGUUCGACUUUUAAAAAAUUACGUGAUCUGAGUUCA